GAACAGAUAGGUUUUGUCCUGGCCUUUUCAUUAGCUCUUAGUAAGACUACACAUGCGAGCACCCCCACCCUGGUGAAAAUCCCCUCUAGAUCACCAGAUCAAAAGAUGCAGGUAUCAAGCACGCACGAAUGCAGUUCAAAACACUUCGCUUAACCACACCCCUACCGGAAAGAGCAGUGAUAAAUCUUUAGUUAUAAAUCAAAGUUUGACUAAGUGAUACUAACGUUAAGGGUGGAUUCAUUUCAUGCCAGCCACCACAGUCAUACGAUUAACCCGAGCUAAUAGAACUCGGCAUAAAGAGUGUUUAAGGUCUACCCUCAAUAAAGCUAAACCUCAUAUAAGUUAUAAAAAACUCCAGCUGAAAUAAAAUAAACUACGAAAGUGGCUUUAAUAUCCUGAAGAUACAAUAGCAAAGACACAAACUGGGAUUAGAUACCCCACUAUGCUUAGCCCUAAACUCUAAUAGUUACAUUAACAAAACCAUUUGCCAGAGUACUACAGCAGCUUAAAACUCAAAGAACUUGGCGGUGCUUUAUAUCCCUCUAGAGGAGCCUGUUCUAUAAUUGAUAAACCCCAAUACACCUCACCACCUGUUGCCCCCAGCCUUAUACCGCUAUCUUCAGUGAACCCUUAAAAGGCUAUAGAGUAAGCACAAGUACCCACAUAAAAACCGUAGGUCAAAGUGUAGCCCAUGAGGUGGCAAAAAAUGGGCUACAUUUUCUAUGUCCAGAAAAUCUCAUGACAACCCUUAUGAAAUCUAAGGGCUCAAGGAGGAUUUAACCAUAAACCAAAAGCAGAGCGCUUGGAUAAAUAAGGCUGUGAAGCACGCACACACCUCCCAUCACCCUCCUCAAAUAUUACUCUAGAAAUCACUAUUACUAAUAACUUUCUACAUGCAUACAGAAGAGCUAAGUUGUAACAUGGUAAGCGUACUGGAAAGUGCAAUUGGACAAACCAAAAU
Molecule: ribosomal RNA, 961 nt
Organism: Chlorocebus sabaeus (green monkey)
Lineage: Eukaryota; Metazoa; Chordata; Mammalia; Primates; Cercopithecidae
Rfam family: Bacterial small subunit ribosomal RNA
Source: Rfam